AUCGAGAAGGCAACAUGUCGCUGUCCUGACUCCUGAGAUACGAUUCUCGAUGUGCUGGUGGUUUUAACGUCAUCGUGGGCCUUGAGAUUCACAACUCUAAUGUUCACCCAGUUAAAAAGACCAGUUACUGUCUAGAGCAGAGUAACAGACCACUGCCGGCUCUGAGGCUGCUGCUCGGGACUGACCAGUCCUGGAAUGUAAACUGGGAAGUUCCCAGCAGUGAAUGUGUUUAGCCCCCAGCCAGCCCUCGGCAACAGCUCUCCUAAGCAAAGAGGAAUGUGUUUGUUUUCAACUUGUCGGCUCUGAUGAGGGGACAAAGAAAGGAUUCCACUGCCUCUCAGAUCAGCAUCAAACGCCCUGCAGACAGAGACAAGCCCUCAGGACCCCGGUGCCCGACCAGGGUCUCGUUAUGAUGAAGACGAGGAUGAAGCCCAGUGAGCAGGAAUGCACAGAGGUCAGGCACCACUUGUUGCUCCUCACCUGAGCUGUCCCAGGUUGUAUUGCCUCGUCUCUCCGUCCGUGUUGCGGGUGACGCACACAGAGAAGCAGGGCUGGAGCUGCCGGAGCUCCAGCAGGACGAUGGCCAGGUAGUGGAUGAAGAGCAGAGCGUCCACCAGCGACACGGCGUACUGCACGAUUCCCUGGUAGUUCUCGUCCUGCAGGGGCAGCGAGGAAGUGGGGGGGCAUAGAAAGUCAAGAUUCAGAAAAAUGCUCUUUGUACCAAAUGCAAAUCCAGUUAAUACGUGCAAGGAUAUUUCAAAACUUAAAAUAAGGCAUAAAAUACUCCUGGGGCGUAAAAAAAAGAGAACAUGAACAUGUAAGACAAGAUGUAGAGCAUAUGAAUAUUUAGAGAUCUUUCAAAGGAUGGCAGGCUUUCUAGACCCCCCCACCAUUACUGUGUGUGUGUGUGUGUGUGUGUGUGUGUGUGUAUGAAUUCUGAAUGAGCGAUCAACAGGGAUUUUAAACUAUGACUCACAGUAAACAAACGGCCCUGGAGAAGCCAAAUAUCUGUGUUUUGGUUGUUUGAUUUUGUUGAGCUUUUAAAGGCAUUAAAAAUAAAUGUGUAUGAAACGUCUCCCACUGCA
Molecule: long non-coding RNA, 1085 nt
Organism: Pleuronectes platessa (European plaice)
Lineage: Eukaryota; Metazoa; Chordata; Actinopteri; Pleuronectiformes; Pleuronectidae
Exons: 2
Source: RefSeq, a predicted model, not a curated record